This 28-nucleotide small RNA is filed under the name Bombyx mori (domestic silkworm). Its description in RNAcentral is "piRNA piR-bmo-1647843". The record is from RNAcentral. Lineage: Eukaryota; Metazoa; Arthropoda; Insecta; Lepidoptera; Bombycidae.
UACAUACUUGAAGUGGAUGUUUUGGCCC